GUUGUUUGUUUAUUGUUUUGUACAGUUCUUGUAAUGUUCCGUUGCACCACUGUCCUAGGAUUAAGAGGAGGGUUGGGCGUCCACUAACAAGAUGUAUGCGCCACAUUCUGUAUGUGCCUGUUCCUAAUCAGGAGACAGUAAUUCAUUGGGUGUCGUUUCUUGCUAUGAAAUACAUCUUUUGUUCUUUCAUUUUUUUUGUACAUAAAUUAGGCCGUUAGUUUUCUCGUUUGAAUUGUUUUACAUUUGUGAUUUCGGGGCCUUUUAUAUCUGACUAAGCGGUAUGGGCUUUGCUCAUUAUUGAAGGCCGUAUGAUGAUCUAUAGCUGUUAUUUUCUGUAUCAUUUGAUUUCUUGUGGACGGUUGUCUCAUUGGCAAUCACUCCACAUCUUCUAUUUCUUUUUUUUUGUACAUAAAUCAGGCCACCAGUUUUCUUGUCUGAUUUUCUUUAACUUUGCCAUUUGUUGAAUUCUUGAAUGCCAAACGGUGACCUCAGUUCGUUACUUCUACGCCAUUUUGGUCCCUGAGAGGUAUG
RNAcentral lists this long non-coding RNA (531 nucleotides) under Mytilus galloprovincialis (Mediterranean mussel). Lineage: Eukaryota; Metazoa; Mollusca; Bivalvia; Mytilida; Mytilidae. The record is from RNAcentral.